CCUACGGGAGGCAGCAGUGGGGAAUUUUGGACAAUGGGGGCAACCCUGAUCCAGCAAUGCCGCGUGAGUGAAGAAGGCCUUCGGGUUGUAAAGCUCUUUUGUCAGGGAAGAAACAGCAGCUCUAACACAGUUUGCGAAUGACGGUACCUGAAGAAUAAGCACCGGCUAACUACGUGCCAGCAGCCGCGGUAAUACGUAGGGUGCAAGCGUUAAUCGGAAUUACUGGGCGUAAAGCGUGCGCAGGCGGUUAUGUAAGACAGGCGUGAAAUCCCCGGGCUUAACCUGGGAAUUGCGCUUGUGACUGCAUAGCUAGAGUAUGUCAGAGGGGGGUAGAAUUCCACGUGUAGCAGUGAAAUGCGUAGAGAUGUGGAGGAAUACCAAUGGCGAAGGCAGCCCCCUGGGAUAAUACUGACGCUCAUGCACGAAAGCGUGGGGAGCAAACAGGAUUAGAUACCCUGGUAGUCCACGCCCUAAACGAUGCUGACUAGUUGUUCGGGAAUUUAUUCCUGAGUAACGUAGCUAACGCGUGAAGUCAGCCGCCUGGGGAGUACGGUCGCAAGAUUAAAACUCAAAGGAAUUGACGG
Molecule: ribosomal RNA, 584 nt
Filed under: uncultured beta proteobacterium
Lineage: Bacteria; Pseudomonadati; Pseudomonadota; Betaproteobacteria
Description: bacterial SSU rRNA
Rfam family: Bacterial small subunit ribosomal RNA
Source: RNAcentral